Long non-coding RNA from Pan troglodytes (chimpanzee), 208 nucleotides. RefSeq lists it as uncharacterized. The transcript is spliced from 2 exons. NCBI's taxonomy places the organism in Eukaryota, Metazoa, Chordata, Mammalia, Primates, Hominidae. The record is from RefSeq and is a predicted model, not a curated record.
GUCAUGUUUUAACAGCAUUGAGGCUAAGAACAAAAGGAAGAGAGAAUUAGUAUUCAUUGAGAACUUCCCUUGUGAGUGUCUCGUGGAGUUUUCCAGAGGCUUUGCAAAGUGUGAUAUGGCCACUGAUGGAAUGCAGAGGCAGCUAUAAAGACCCAGCUGCCUAUAGUGAAGUCAGACAUUAAAGAGACUUCCAAAUAUGCAAAACAAA